CCUACGGGAGGCAGCAGUGGGGAAUAUUGGACAAUGGGGGCAACCCUGAUCCAGCAAUUCUGUGUGCACAAAGAAGGUUUUCGGAUCGUAAAGUGCUUUCAGCAGGGAGGAAGGAAGUGACUGUACCUGCAGAAGAAGCGACGGCUAAAUACGUGCCAGCAGCCGCGGUAAUACGUAUGUCGCGAGCGUUAUCCGGAAUUAUUGGGCAUAAAGGGCAUCUAGGCGGCCGGGUAAGUCCGGGGUGAAAACUGCUGGCUCAACCAGCAGCCUGCCUUGGAAACUACCCGGCUGGAGUGCUGGAGAGGUGGACGGAACUGCACGAGUAGAGGUGAAAUUCGUAGAUAUGUGCAGGAAUGCCGAUGAUGAAGAUAGUUCACUGGACGGCAACUGACGCUGAAGUGCGAAAGCUAGGGGAGCGAACAGGAUUAGAUACCCUGGUAGUCCUAGCUGUAAACGAUGAUUACUGGGUGUGGGCAUGAAGAGUGUCCGUGCCGAAGCUAAUGCGAUAAGUAAUCCGCCUGGGGAGUACGGCCGCAAGGCUGAAACUCAAAGGAAUUGACGG
This 562-nucleotide ribosomal RNA is filed under the name uncultured Leptotrichia sp. RNAcentral's name for it is "bacterial SSU rRNA". It matches the Rfam family "Bacterial small subunit ribosomal RNA", at positions 338 to 916 of the family's 1533-position model. The record is from RNAcentral. Lineage: Bacteria; Fusobacteriati; Fusobacteriota; Fusobacteriia; Fusobacteriales; Leptotrichiaceae.